CGUGAUCCGCCCUUCGGGGUGGUGAAAGUGGCGCACGGGUGAGUAACGCGUGGAUAAUCUGCCCGAGGAUUUGGGAUAACAUCUCGAAAGGGGUGCUAAUACCGAAUAAGCCCACGGGGUCUACGGAUCUUGCGGGAAAAGGGGGGGACCUUCGGGCCUCCUGUCCUUGGAUGAGUCUGCGUACCAUUAGCUAGUUGGUGGGGUAAUGGCCUACCAAGGCGACGAUGGUUAGCUGGUCUGAGAGGAUGAUCAGCCACACUGGAACUGAGACACGGUCCAGACUCCUACGGGAGGCAGCAGUGGGGAAUUUUGCGCAAUGGGGGAAACCCUGACGCAGCAACGCCGCGUGGGUGAUGAAGGCCUUCGGGUCGUAAAGCUCUGUCUGGAGGGAAGAAAUGAUUGGGAGCUAAUACCUCUUGAUCUUGACGGUACCUCUGAAGGAAGCACCGGCUAACUCCGUGCCAGCAGCCGCGGUAAUACGGAGGGUGC
RNAcentral lists this ribosomal RNA (489 nucleotides) under uncultured Geobacter sp. RNAcentral's name for it is "bacterial SSU rRNA". It matches the Rfam family "Bacterial small subunit ribosomal RNA", at positions 67 to 535 of the family's 1533-position model. Lineage: Bacteria; Pseudomonadati; Thermodesulfobacteriota; Desulfuromonadia; Geobacterales; Geobacteraceae. The record is from RNAcentral.